RNAcentral lists this ribosomal RNA (1348 nucleotides) under metagenome. Its description in RNAcentral is "bacterial LSU rRNA". It matches the Rfam family "Bacterial large subunit ribosomal RNA", at positions 1564 to 2925 of the family's 2925-position model. The record is from RNAcentral.
UGAGUACGAGCUGCUACGGCAGCGAAGUGGGUGAUGUCAAGCUUCCAAGAAAAGCCCUAUACCCGUUAAGGCAUGAUGGCCUGUACCCGAAACCGACACAGGUGGGGUGGUAGAGAAUACCGAGGGGCGCGAGGUAACGCUCUCUAAGGAACUCGGCAAAAUGGCCCCGUAACUUCGGGAGAAGGGGUGCCACCGCAAGGUGGUCGCAGUGAAGAGGCCCAGGCGACUGUUACCAAAAACACAGGUCUCCGCUAAGUCGCAGGACGAUGUAUGGGGGCUGACGCCUGCCCAGCGCCGGAAGGUUAAGGAAGCUGGUCAGCGCAAGCGAAGCUAGCGACUGAAGCCCCGGUGAACGGCGGCCGUAACUAUAACGGUCCUAAGGUAGCGAAAUUCCUUGUCGGGUAAGUUCCGACCCGCACGAAAGGCGUAACGAUCUGGGCGCUGUCUCGGAGAGAGGCUCGGCGAAAUAGAAUUGUCUGUGAAGAUGCGGACUACGUGCACCCGGACAGAAAGACCCUAUGAAGCUUUACUGUAGCUUGGUAUUGUGCCCGGGCUCUGAAUGCGCAGGAUAGGUGGGAGGCUUUGAUCCAUUGCUUGCGGGUGAUGGUGAGCCAACGGUGAGAUACCACUCUUCCAGAGCUAGGGUUCUAACGGUCACCCGUCAUCCGGGGACCGGACAGUAUCAGGUGGGCAGUUUGACUGGGGCGGUCGCCUCCUAAAAGGUAACGGAGGCGCGCAAAGGUUCCCUCAGGCUGGUUGGAAAUCAGCCGACGAGUGUAAAGGCAGAAGGGAGCUUGACUGUGAGACCUACAAGUCGAACAGGGACGAAAGUCGGCCUUAGUGAUCCGACGGUUCUGAGUGGAAGGGCCGUCGCUCAACGGAUAAAAGUUACUCUAAGGAUAACAGGCUGAUCUCCCCCAAGAGUUCACAUCGACGGGGAGGUUUGGCACCUCGAUGUCGGCUCAUCGCAACCUGGGGCUGAAGUCGGUCCCAAGGGUUGGGCUGUUCGCCCAUUAAAGCGGUACGCGAGCUGGGUUCAGAACGUCGUGAGACAGUUCGGUCCAUAUCCGGUGCAUGCGCAGGAAUAUUGAGAGGAUUUCUCCCUAGUACGAGAGGACCGGGAGGAACGCACCUCUGGUGUGCCAGUUAUCGUGCCAACGGUAAACGCUGGGUAGCCAUGUGCGGAGAGGAUAACCGCUGAAAGCAUCUAAGUGGGAAGCCCACCUCAAGAUGAGUAUUCCCAUGGCGUUAGCCAGUAAGGUCACGGGAAGAACACCCGUUGAUAGGCUCUACGUGGAAGCCGGGCAACCGGUGAAGCGGAGGAGUACUAAUAGACCGAGGGCUUGAC